UGGGGAAACCCAGUGUGAUUCGUCACACUAUCAUUAACUGAAUCCAUAGGUUAAUGAGGCGAACCGGGGGAACUGAAACAUCUAAGUACCCCGAGGAAAAGAAAUCAACCGAGAUUCCCCCAGUAGCGGCGAGCGAACGGGGAGGAGCCCAGAGCCUGAAUCAGCAUGUGUGUUAGUGGAAGCGUCUGGAAAGGCGCGCGAUACAGGGUGACAGCCCCGUACACAAAAGCGCAUGUGCUGUGAGCUCGAUGAGUAGGGCGGGACACGUGGUAUCCUGUCUGAAUAUGGGGGGACCAUCCUCCAAGGCUAAAUACUCCUGACUGACCGAUAGUGAACCAGUACCGUGAGGGAAAGGCGAAAAGAACCCCGGCGAGGGGAGUGAAAAAGAACCUGAAACCGUGUACGUACAAGCAGUGGGAGCACAGGUUUACCUGUGUGACUGCGUACCUUUUGUAUAAUGGGUCAGCGACUUAUAUUCUGUAGCAAGGUUAACCGAAUAGGGGAGCCGGAGGGAAACCGAGUCUUAACCGGGCGUUAAGUUGCAGGGUAUAGACCCGAAACCCGGUGAUCUAGCCAUGGGCAGGUUGAAGGUUGGGUAACACUAACUGGAGGACCGAACCGACUAAUGUUGAAAAAUUAGCGGAUGACCUGUGGCUGGGGGUGAAAGGCCAAUCAAACCGGGAGAUAGCUGGUUCUCCCCGAAAGCUAUUUAGGUAGCGCCUCGUGAAUUCAUCUCCGGGGGUAGAGCACUGUUUCGGCUAGGGGGCCAUCCCGGCUUACCAACCCGAUGCAAACUGCGAAUACCGGAGAAUGUUAUCACGGGAGACACACGGCGGGUGCUAACGUCCGUCGUGAAGAGGGAAACAACCCAGACCGCCAGCUAAGGUCCCAAAGUCAUGGUUAAGUGGGAAACGAUGUGGGAAGGCCCAGACAGCCAGGAUGUUGGCUUAGAAGCAGCCAUCAUUUAAAGAAAGCGUAAUAGCUCACUGGUCGAGUCGGCCUGCGCGGAAGAUGUAACGGGGCUAAACCAU
Molecule: ribosomal RNA, 1031 nt
Filed under: Salmonella enterica
Lineage: Bacteria; Pseudomonadati; Pseudomonadota; Gammaproteobacteria; Enterobacterales; Enterobacteriaceae
Description: partial 23S ribosomal RNA
Rfam family: Bacterial large subunit ribosomal RNA
Source: RNAcentral